This 434-nucleotide ribosomal RNA is filed under the name uncultured Oscillospiraceae bacterium. RNAcentral's name for it is "bacterial SSU rRNA". It matches the Rfam family "Bacterial small subunit ribosomal RNA", at positions 341 to 792 of the family's 1533-position model. Lineage: Bacteria; Bacillati; Bacillota; Clostridia; Eubacteriales; Oscillospiraceae. The record is from RNAcentral.
ACGGAAGGCAGCAGUGGGGAAUAUUGGGCAAUGGGGGCAACCCUGACCCAGCAACGCCGCGUGAAGGAAGAAGGCUUUCGGGUUGUAAACUUCUUUGACGAGGGACGAUAAUGACGGUACCUCGAAAACAAGCAACGGCUAACUACGUGCCAGCAGCCGCGGUAAUACGUAGGUUGCAAGCGUUGUCCGGAUUUACUGGGUGUAAAGGGCGUGUAGGCGGAGCUGCAAGUCAGAUGUGAAAUCCCGGGGCUCAACCCCGGAACUGCAUUUGAAACUGUAGCCCUUGAGUAUCGGAGAGGCAAGCGGAAUUCCUAGUGUAGCGGUGAAAUGCGUAGAUAUUAGGAGGAACACCAGUGGCGAAGGCGGCUUGCUGGACGACAACUGACGCUGAGGCGCGAAAGCGUGGGGAGCAAACAGGAUUAGAUACCCUGGUA